RNAcentral lists this ribosomal RNA (253 nucleotides) under uncultured bacterium. Its description in RNAcentral is "partial 16S ribosomal RNA". It matches the Rfam family "Bacterial small subunit ribosomal RNA", at positions 524 to 776 of the family's 1533-position model. The record is from RNAcentral.
UACAGAGGGUGCGAGCGUUAAUCGGAAUUACUGGGCGUAAAGCGUGCGUAGACGGUUAUUUAAGUCGGUUGUGAAAGCCCCGGGCUCAACCUGGGAAUUGCAUUCGAGACUGAAUAGCUAGGGUACGGUAGAGGGAAGUGGAAUUUCCGGUGUAGCGGUGAAAUGCGUAGAUAUCGGAAGGAACAUCAGUGGCGAAAGCGACUUCCUGGACCAGUACCGACGUUCAGGCACGAAAGCGUGGGGAGCAAACAGG